GAUGAACGCUGGCUACAGGCUUAACACAUGCAAGUCGAGGGGCAGCAUGGCGGAUGCUUGCAUCUGCCGAUGGCGACCGGCGCACGGGUGAGUAACGCGUAUCCAACCUACCUUCAAGCAGGGGACAAUCCGUAGAAAUGCGGUCUGAUACCCUAUGUAUUCCAACGAGGUCCUCCGUGUUGGAAGAAAGGUUUAUCCGCUUGUUGAUGGGGAUGCGUCCGAUUAGCUUGUUGGCGGGGCAACGGCCCACCAAGGCAACGAUCGGUAGGGGUUCUGAGAGGAAGGUCCCCCACACUGGAACUGAGACACGGUCCAGACUCCUACGGGAGGCAGCAGUGAGGAAUAUUGGUCAAUGGGCGUAAGCCUGAACCAGCCAAGUAGCGUGCAGGAUGACGGCCCUAUGGGUUGUAAACUGCUUUUAUACGGGGAUAAAGUGCGCCACGUGUGGUGUUUUGCAGGUACCGUAUGAAUAAGGACCGGCUAAUUCCGUGCCAGCAGCCGCGGUAAUACGGAAGGUCCGGGCGUUAUCCGGAUUUAUUGGGUUUAAAGGGAGCGUAGGCCGCAUGUCAAGCGUGUUGUGAAAUGCAGGUGCUCAACACCUGGAUUGCAGCGCGAACUGUCGUGCUUGAGUGUGCGCAACGUUGGCGGAAUUCGUCGUGUAGCGGUGAAAUGCUUAGAUAUGACGAGGAACCCCGAUUGCGAAGGCAGCUGACGGGAGCAUAACUGACGCUGAAGCUCGAAGGUGCGGGUAUCGAACAGG
RNAcentral lists this ribosomal RNA (760 nucleotides) under uncultured Prevotella sp. RNAcentral describes it as "bacterial SSU rRNA". It matches the Rfam family "Bacterial small subunit ribosomal RNA", at positions 28 to 776 of the family's 1533-position model. The record is from RNAcentral. Lineage: Bacteria; Pseudomonadati; Bacteroidota; Bacteroidia; Bacteroidales; Prevotellaceae.